AUGCAUUUUGAGAUUUUAGAUGAGAAGAAUGGGGAUCACCUCCGCUCUUAUGCUCAUGCGAUGAUUGUUAUUCAGUCAAUGAAGACUGCGACAGUGGAAAAUUUUAGCUAUUACAACCAAGCAAUUACAUUGGAUGGCCAAUUCAACAUUUAUAGUGACAAAUUUUAUUCCAACAGGAAGAUGUCACAACAAGCUAAAUCUCAUACUUAA
This 210-nucleotide ribosomal RNA is filed under the name Triticum aestivum (bread wheat). Its description in RNAcentral is "partial small subunit ribosomal RNA". The record is from RNAcentral. Lineage: Eukaryota; Viridiplantae; Streptophyta; Magnoliopsida; Poales; Poaceae.